GAUGAACGCUGGCGGCGUGCCUAAUACAUGCAAGUCGAGCGAACAGACGAGGAGCUUGCUCCUCUGACGUUAGCGGCGGACGGGUGAGUAACACGUGGAUAACCUACCUAUAAGACUGGGAUAACUUCGGGAAACCGGAGCUAAUACCGGAUAAUAUAUUGAACCGCAUGGUUCAAUAGUGAAAGACGGUUUUGCUGUCACUUAUAGAUGGAUCCGCGCCGCAUUAGCUAGUUGGUAAGGUAACGGCUUACCAAGGCAACGAUGCGUAGCCGACCUGAGAGCGUGGUCGGCCACACUGGAACUGAGACGCGGUCCAGACUCCUACGGGAGGCAGCAGUAGGGAAUCUUCCGCAAUGGGCGAAAGCCUGACGGAGCAACGCCGCGUGAGUGAUGAAGGUCUUCGGAUCGUAAAACUCUGUUAUUAGGGAAGAACAAAUGUGUAAGUAACUAUGCACGUCUUGACGGUACCUAAUCAGAAAGCCACGGCUAACUACGUG
This 497-nucleotide ribosomal RNA is filed under the name uncultured bacterium. Its description in RNAcentral is "partial 16S ribosomal RNA". It matches the Rfam family "Bacterial small subunit ribosomal RNA", at positions 28 to 507 of the family's 1533-position model. The record is from RNAcentral.